RNAcentral lists this ribosomal RNA (497 nucleotides) under uncultured bacterium. Its description in RNAcentral is "partial 16S ribosomal RNA". It matches the Rfam family "Bacterial small subunit ribosomal RNA", at positions 28 to 507 of the family's 1533-position model. The record is from RNAcentral.
GAUGAACGCUGGCGGCGUGCCUAAUACAUGCAAGUCGAGCGAACAGACGAGGAGCUUGCUCCUCUGACGUUAGCGGCGGACGGGUGAGUAACACGUGGAUAACCUACCUAUAAGACUGGGAUAACUUCGGGAAACCGGAGCUAAUACCGGAUAAUAUAUUGAACCGCAUGGUUCAAUAGUGAAAGACGGUUUUGCUGUCACUUAUAGAUGGAUCCGCGCCGCAUUAGCUAGUUGGUAAGGUAACGGCUUACCAAGGCAACGAUGCGUAGCCGACCUGAGAGGGUGAUAGGCCACACUGGAACUGAGACACGGUCCAGACUCCUACGGGAGGCAGCAGUAGGGAAUCUUCCGCAAUGGGCGAAAGCCUGACGGAGCAACGCCGCGUGAGUGAUGAAGGUCUUCGGAUCGUAAAACUCUGUUAUUAGGGAAGAACAAAUGUGUAAGUAACUAUGCACGCCUUGACGGUACCUAAUCAGAAAGCCACGGCUAACUACGUG